This 647-nucleotide ribosomal RNA is filed under the name Salmonella enterica. RNAcentral's name for it is "bacterial LSU rRNA". It matches the Rfam family "Bacterial large subunit ribosomal RNA", at positions 1 to 688 of the family's 2925-position model. The record is from RNAcentral. RNAcentral also lists the same sequence under 1 other name. Lineage: Bacteria; Pseudomonadati; Pseudomonadota; Gammaproteobacteria; Enterobacterales; Enterobacteriaceae.
GAGGUUAAGCGACUAAGCGUACACGGUGGAUGCCCUGGCAGUCAGAGGCGAUGAAGGACGUGCUAAUCUGCGAUAAGCGCCGGUAAGGUGAUAUGAACCGUUAUAACCGGCGAUUUCCGAAUGGGGAAACCCAGUGUGACUCGUCACACUAUCAUUAACUGAAUCCAUAGGUUAAUGAGGCGAACCGGGGGAACUGAAACAUCUAAGUACCCCGAGGAAAAGAAAUCAACCGAGAUUCCCCCAGUAGCGGCGAGCGAACGGGGAGGAGCCCAGAGCCUGAAUCAGCAUGUGUGUUAGUGGAAGCGUCUGGAAAGGCGCGCGAUACAGGGUGACAGCCCCGUACACAAAAGCGCAUGUGCUGUGAGCUCGAUGAGUAGGGCGGGACACGUGGUAUCCUGUCUGAAUAUGGGGGGACCAUCCUCCAAGGCUAAAUACUCCUGACUGACCGAUAGUGAACCAGUACCGUGAGGGAAAGGCGAAAAGAACCCCGGCGAGGGGAGUGAAAAAGAACCUGAAACCGUGUACGUACAAGCAGUGGGAGCACCCUUUGGGGUGUGACUGCGUACCUUUUGUAUAAUGGGUCAGCGACUUAUAUUCUGUAGCAAGGUUAACCGAAUAGGGGAGCCGGAGGGAAACCGAGUCUUAAC